UACGUAGGGUGCGAGCGUUGUCCGGAUUCACUGGGUGUAAAGGGUCCGCAGGCGGGUCGGUCAGUCGUUGGUGGAAUUCCAGGGCUUAAAUCUGAAACUGCCGACGAUACUGCCGAUCUUGAGUACGGAAGAGGAAGAUGGAAUUCCUGGUGUAGCGGUGAAAUGCGUAGAUAUCAGGAAGAAAACCGGUGGCGAAGGCGGUUUUCUGGUCCGUUACUGACGCUCAGGGACGAAAGCGUGGGGAGCAAACAGG
RNAcentral lists this ribosomal RNA (253 nucleotides) under uncultured bacterium. RNAcentral describes it as "partial 16S ribosomal RNA". It matches the Rfam family "Bacterial small subunit ribosomal RNA", at positions 524 to 776 of the family's 1533-position model. The record is from RNAcentral.